RNAcentral lists this ribosomal RNA (488 nucleotides) under uncultured bacterium. RNAcentral describes it as "partial 16S ribosomal RNA". It matches the Rfam family "Bacterial small subunit ribosomal RNA", at positions 355 to 852 of the family's 1533-position model. The record is from RNAcentral.
UGGGGAAUAUUGCACAAUGGGCGAAAGCCUGAUGCAGCGACGCCGCGUGAGGGAUGACGGCCUUCGGGUUGUAAACCUCUUUCAGCAGGGAAGAAGCGAAAGUGACGGUACCUGCAGAAGAAGCGCCGGCUAACUACGUGCCAGCAGCCGCGGUAAUACGUAGGGCGCAAGCGUUGUCCGGAAUUAUUGGGCGUAAAGAGCUCGUAGGCGGUUAGUCGCGUCUGCUGUGAAAACUCGAGGCUCAACCUCGGGCUUGCAGUGGGUACGGGCUGACUAGAGUGCGGUAGGGGUGACUGGAAUUCCUGGUGUAGCGGUGGAAUGCGCAGAUAUCAGGAGGAACACCGAUGGCGAAGGCAGGUCACUGGGCCGCAACUGACGCUGAGGAGCGAAAGCAUGGGGAGCGAACAGGAUUAGAUACCCUGGUAGUCCAUGCCGUAAACGUUGGGCACUAGGUGUGGGAUCCAUUUCCACGGAUUCCGUGCCGCAGC